Molecule: ribosomal RNA, 541 nt
Filed under: Phoma herbarum
Lineage: Eukaryota; Fungi; Ascomycota; Dothideomycetes; Pleosporales; Didymellaceae
Description: eukaryotic LSU rRNA
Rfam family: 5.8S ribosomal RNA (bases 174-328)
Source: RNAcentral
AAAAAAAAAAAGAGAAAUAAUACACAUAAGUUGUAGAGCUUUGCCUGACUAUCUCUUACCAUGAUCUUUUAGAGUACCUUACGUUUCCUCGAGUGAGGUUCUGACCAACACGAUUUGGACAAACUUAAACCCUUUGCAGUUGAAAUCAGCGUCUGAAAAAACUUAAUAGUUACAACUUUCAACAAACGGAUCUCUUGGUUCUGGCAUCGAUGAAGAACGCAGCGAAAUGCGAUAAGUAGUGUGAAUUGCAGAAUUCAGUGAAUCAUCGAAUCUUUGAACGCACAUUGCGCCCCUUGGUAUUCCAUGGGGCAUGCCUGUUCGAGCGUCAUUUGUACCUUCAAGCUCUGCUUGGUGUAUAGGGUGUUUGUCUCCUGUAGACUCGCCUUAAAACAAUUAGGCAGCCGGCGUAUUGAUUUCGGAGCGCAGUACAUCUCGCGCUAUUGCACUCAUAACGACAGACAUCCAAAAGUACAUUUAUUACACUCUUGAACUCGAGAUCAGGUAGGGAUACCCGCUGAACUUAAGCAUAUCAAUAAGCGAG